GGAGCUACAGAACAUUCUGUGAGCCACGUCCAUGUGCGAGUGGGUCUCGGAGGGCGGUGAGACCUGGGGACAGUUCAGCCACUCCUAUGUUUUCAGCCUAAAGGAGAGGACCUUGACCGGGCCUGGCCAACAGUGGACCUGAAGAGCCACUUUGCUGUGCUGGGAAGCGACUGGGCGCGUUAUUCUCAUGGUAUGAGUCACACAGACAGGCACCCAAGUGCAUGGAGGGCGGUUGGCCGGCUCCGGGGAGGGGCUGAGCCGGGUCCCUGAGGGCC
Long non-coding RNA from Tupaia belangeri chinensis (Chinese tree shrew), 275 nucleotides. RefSeq lists it as uncharacterized. NCBI's taxonomy places the organism in Eukaryota, Metazoa, Chordata, Mammalia, Scandentia, Tupaiidae. The record is from RefSeq and is a predicted model, not a curated record. The transcript has 3 exons.